This 924-nucleotide ribosomal RNA is filed under the name Triticum aestivum (bread wheat). RNAcentral's name for it is "partial small subunit ribosomal RNA". The record is from RNAcentral. Lineage: Eukaryota; Viridiplantae; Streptophyta; Magnoliopsida; Poales; Poaceae.
AUGAGCGACAUGGCCGCGCCGGCGGCGGGCAUCAGCGGCAUCAUCGACCCGGAAGUUCUCGACUGCACCAUCUGCUUCGACCCCCUCCAGCCUCCGGUCUUCCAGUGCGCCGUUGGGCAUGUGAUCUGCUCACCCUGCCAAGGCAAACUCAUAAACAAGGAGAACUGCAACACGUGCUCCCUCCCCGGCGGGUACAACCGAUGCUACGCACUCGAAAAAAUCCUGGAGUCCCUCCGCAUCCCUUGCGCCAACGCCGCGUACGGGUGCACCGUGAAGACGCACUAUCACGAGGUGGAGGACCAUGGCAAGUCAUGCCCCCACGCGCCAUGCUUCUGUCCGGAACCUGGCUGCAACUUCGCCGGCUCCACCGUUGCACUCCUGGCUCAUCUUACCGGCGGUCAUAUGUGGCCAUCCACCGAGUUGGAGUACAAUGUUAAGCUCACACUGGAGGUGAAAGCAGGAGUGCAUGUUCUCCACAGGCGAGACAGGAGUCCCUUUUUCCUCGUGAAGUUCACUCCGGCGCCGCCACCUUACGGCAGCGCCGCCUCAGUUUUGUGCGUAGAUCCUGAUGCCACCGCCACCAUGGAGAAGGGGCGCAAGUUCAGGUGCCAACUUGGCUCGAGCAACGUCGACAUGGAUUGGCAGCAAUAUUCGCGUUUCCAGGUCAGGAGCACCACGCUCUCCGACGGGUGGCCACCGACAGAGGACGGCGGUUCCCUAUAUGUUGCACCCAGCACCGAGAGCAUCACUGUCAGUAUCACGAAGAUAAUGCGCGACAUAUGCUCAUUGCCUGCCAGGAAAAACAUCAGGUCACAGCAGCUAGAGCACUUCUGCAAAAGAAAGUCGAGCAACCCUGAUGCGAAGACCUUCAGUCAACCGCGGAUGGGAGAAUCUACAAAAAAGCAACAUAUCAGUACGAUGUAG